This 490-nucleotide ribosomal RNA is filed under the name Pseudomonas sp. TERI 2009. RNAcentral's name for it is "bacterial SSU rRNA". It matches the Rfam family "Bacterial small subunit ribosomal RNA", at positions 34 to 519 of the family's 1533-position model. Lineage: Bacteria; Pseudomonadati; Pseudomonadota; Gammaproteobacteria; Pseudomonadales; Pseudomonadaceae. The record is from RNAcentral.
CGCUGGCGGCAGGCCUAACACAUGCAAGUCGAGCGGAUGAAGGGAGCUUGCUCCCGGAUUCAGCGGCGGACGGGUGAGUAAUGCCUAGGAAUCUGCCUGGUAGUGGGGGACAACGUUCCGAAAGGAGCGCUAAUACCGCAUACGUCCUACGGGAGAAAGUGGGGGAUCUUCGGACCUCACGCUAUCAGAUGAGCCUAGGUCGGAUUAGCUAGUAGGUGGGGUAAUGGCUCACCUAGGCGACGAUCCGUAACUGGUCUGAGAGGAUGAUCAGUCACACUGGAACUGAGACACGGUCCAGACUCCUACGGGAGGCAGCAGUGGGGAAUAUUGGACAAUGGGCGAAAGCCUGAUCCAGCCAUGCCGCGUGUGUGAAGAAGGUCUUCGGAUUGUAAAGCACUUUAAGUUGGGAGGAAGGGCAGUAAGUUAAUACCUUGCUGUUUUGACGUUACCAACAGAAUAAGCACCGGCUAACUUCGUGCCAGCAGCNGGG